AUGAUGGCAGCUGAUAUCGAGACGGGAUCACAGGACGCCGCCGGCAACGACGUCAGGAGCGCGUACGCCGAGCUGCUGCGCAGGCGCAGAUUCCUGUGGCGGCUGACUCUGCUCGAAGUCGUCUUGAUCCUCGGCAUCGGAGCGCUCAUGGCGUGCAUCGAGCCGUCCACCGCCGGGCCCAAGGUGUACCUCGCCUCCCGCGUCGUCGGAUAUGCCGGCCAUGUCGUCGCCGUGUGCUGGGGACUCUUCAUCGUUUACCAAUGGACCCUGUCUGCUAAAGAACUCCAGAGGAUCCUAGACUCUAUCAAGUAA
This 312-nucleotide ribosomal RNA is filed under the name Triticum aestivum (bread wheat). RNAcentral describes it as "partial small subunit ribosomal RNA". The record is from RNAcentral. Lineage: Eukaryota; Viridiplantae; Streptophyta; Magnoliopsida; Poales; Poaceae.